Molecule: unclassified non-coding RNA, 21 nt
Filed under: Mus musculus (house mouse)
Lineage: Eukaryota; Metazoa; Chordata; Mammalia; Rodentia; Muridae
Description: oocyte_clustered_small_RNA785
Source: RNAcentral
UCCUCCUCAGCCUCAGCUCUU